UACGUAGGUGGCAAGCGUUGUCCGGAUUUACUGGGCGUAAAGGGCGUGCAGGCGGUUUGUUUCGUCUAGGGUGAAAGCUCCCGGCUUAACUGGGAGAGGUCCUUGGAUACUGGCAAACUUGAGGGAGGCAGAGGAAAGUGGAAUUCCCGGUGUAGUGGUGAUAUGCGUAGAUAUCGGGAGGAACAUCAGUGGCGAAGGCGGCCCUCUGGUCCAGUACUGACACUCAAGUGCGAAAGCGUGGGGAGCAAACAGG
This 253-nucleotide ribosomal RNA is filed under the name uncultured bacterium. RNAcentral describes it as "partial 16S ribosomal RNA". It matches the Rfam family "Bacterial small subunit ribosomal RNA", at positions 524 to 776 of the family's 1533-position model. The record is from RNAcentral.